AAUGGAGGUAACUCUGACCCAGCCAUGCCGCGUGCGGAAGACUGCCUAGGGUUGUAAACUGCUUUUAUACAGGAAGAACACACCUACGUGUAGGUGCUUGACGGUACUGUAAGAAUAAGCACCUGCUAACUCCGUGCCAGCAGCCGCGGUAAUACGGAGGGUGCAAGCGUUAUCCGGAAUCAUUGGGUUUAAAGGGUCCGCAGGCGGUCAAUUAAGUCAGAGGUGAAAUCCCAUAGCUUAACUAUGGAACUGCCUUUGAUACUGGUUGACUUGAGUCAUAUGGAAGUAGAUAGAAUGUGUAGUGUAGCGGUGAAAUGCAUAGAUAUUACACAGAAUACCGAUUGCGAAGGCAGUCUACUACGUAUGUACUGACGCUCAUGGACGAAAGCGUGGGGAGCGAACAGGAUU
RNAcentral lists this ribosomal RNA (408 nucleotides) under uncultured Flavobacteriia bacterium. Its description in RNAcentral is "bacterial SSU rRNA". It matches the Rfam family "Bacterial small subunit ribosomal RNA", at positions 370 to 779 of the family's 1533-position model. Lineage: Bacteria; Pseudomonadati; Bacteroidota; Flavobacteriia. The record is from RNAcentral.